GACGAACGCUGGCGGCGUGCUUAACACAUGCAAGUCGAGCGAGGCCCCUCCUUCGGGAGGGUGUCCUAGCGGCGAACGGGUGAGUAACACGUGGGCAACCUGCCCUCAGCUCUGGGAUAACUCCGGGAAACCGGGGCUAAUACCGGAUACGACCUCCACGGGCAUCUGCGGAGGUGGAAAGUUUUUCGGCUGAGGAUGGGCCCGCGGCCUAUCAGCUAGUUGGUGGGGUAGUGGCCCACCAAGGCGACGACGGGUAGCCGGCCUGAGAGGGCGACCGGCCACACUGGGACUGAGACACGGCCCAGACUCCUACGGGAGGCAGCAGUGGGGAAUAUUGCGCAAUGGGCGAAAGCCUGACGCAGCGACGCCGCGUGAGGGACGAAGGCCUUCGGGUUGUAAACCUCUUUCAGCAGGGACGAAGGGAAAGUGACGGUACCUGCAGAAGAAGCACCGGCCAACUACGUG
RNAcentral lists this ribosomal RNA (465 nucleotides) under uncultured bacterium. RNAcentral's name for it is "partial 16S ribosomal RNA". It matches the Rfam family "Bacterial small subunit ribosomal RNA", at positions 28 to 507 of the family's 1533-position model. The record is from RNAcentral.